This 576-nucleotide ribosomal RNA is filed under the name uncultured bacterium. RNAcentral's name for it is "bacterial SSU rRNA". It matches the Rfam family "Bacterial small subunit ribosomal RNA", at positions 823 to 1398 of the family's 1533-position model. The record is from RNAcentral.
UGCGGGGAAUCGACCCCCUGCGUGCCGGAGCUAACGCGUUAAGCGUGCCGCCUGGGGAGUACGGUCGCAAGAUUAAAACUCAAAGAAAUUGACGGGGACCCGCACAAGCGGUGGAGUAUGUGGCUUAAUUCGAUGCAACGCGAAGAACCUUACCUGGGCUUGACAUGUAAUGAACAACAUGUGAAAGCAUGCGACUCUUCGGAGGCGUUACACAGGUGCUGCAUGGCCGUCGUCAGCUCGUGUCGUGAGAUGUUUGGUUAAGUCCAGCAACGAGCGCAACCCCUGUUGCCAGUUACCAGCACGUGAAGGUGGGGACUCUGGCGAGACUGCCCAGAUCAACUGGGAGGAAGGUGGGGACGACGUCAGGUCAGUAUGGCCCUUAUGCCCAGGGCUGCACACGUACUACAAUGCCCAGUACAGAGGGGGCCGAAGCCGCGAGGCGGAGGAAAUCCUGAAAACUGGGCCCAGUUCGGACUGUAGGCUGCAACCCGCCUACACGAAGCCGGAAUCGCUAGUAAUGGCGCAUCAGCUACGGCGCCGUGAAUACGUUCCCGGGUCUUGCACAAAGCGCCCGUC